UACGGAGGGUGCGAGCGUUGUCCGGAAUCACUGGGCGUAAAGGGCGCGUAGGCGGCGCGGGGAGUCAACGGUGAAAGCUUGGGGCUCAACCCCGAGUCGGCCGUCGAUACUCCCGUGCUUGAGCACUGUAGAGGCAGGUGGAAUUCCGGGUGUAGCGGUGGAAUGCGUAGAGAUCCGGAAGAACACCGGUAGCGAAGGCGGUUGGCUGGGCCACAACUGACACUGAUGCGCGACAGCGUGGGGAGCAAACAGG
This 253-nucleotide ribosomal RNA is filed under the name uncultured bacterium. RNAcentral's name for it is "partial 16S ribosomal RNA". It matches the Rfam family "Bacterial small subunit ribosomal RNA", at positions 524 to 776 of the family's 1533-position model. The record is from RNAcentral.